RNAcentral lists this ribosomal RNA (493 nucleotides) under uncultured bacterium. Its description in RNAcentral is "bacterial SSU rRNA". It matches the Rfam family "Bacterial small subunit ribosomal RNA", at positions 28 to 534 of the family's 1533-position model. The record is from RNAcentral.
GACGAACGCUGGCGGCGCGCUUAACACAUGCAAGUCGUGCGGUGUCGAAGGCAAGUCUUACGACAAGCCUUCGACACAGCGGCGAACGGGUGAGUAACACGUGAGUAGCUGUCCUAAGGAGGGGGAUAACGCCUGGAAACGGGUGCUAACACCCCAUAUGCCUCGCAAGAGGUGAAAGUGUACUUGCUACAGCCUUAGGGUGUGCUCGCGGCCUAUCAGCUAGUUGGUGAGGUAACGGCUCACCAAGGCUAAGACGGGUAGCCGGCCUGAGAGGGUGUACGGCCACACUGGAAUUGAGAUACGGUCCAGACUCCUACGGGAGGCAGCAGUGGGGAAUCUUGGGCAAUGGGCGAAAGCCUGACCCAGCGACGCCGCGUUGGGGAUGAAGCCUUCGGGGCGUAAACCCAUGUGUAGGGACGAAGAAAGUGAACGGUACCCUACGAGAAAGCCCCGGCCAACUACGUGCCAGCAGCCGCGGUAAAGCUAACGUAGA